Molecule: long non-coding RNA, 341 nt
Organism: Hypanus sabinus (Atlantic stingray)
Lineage: Eukaryota; Metazoa; Chordata; Chondrichthyes; Myliobatiformes; Dasyatidae
Exons: 3
Source: RefSeq, a predicted model, not a curated record
CCUGAAUACAGAUCCACAAUAUUUAGUCUCACUGAGGCAACCCUCUCAUUCCAGGAUUAGCCAGGUGAAUAUCUUUUCCUCUCAUGUUGCUCCUCCCCGCCACACGUUUUUCUUUUCUGGAGACAUAAGACUGCAGACACUGGAAUCUGGAGCAACCCAACCUACUGGAGGAACUCAAUGGGAUGAGCAGCUUGGGUGGGAGAAGAGAAGUUGUCAAUAUUUUGUGCUGAAGCUCUGUAUUAGGACUGAGAGUGGAGAGGCAUUCACAGUAAAGAACUACAAUGAAAAACUGCACACAGACUGACAAGCAACCGAUGUGCACAAGAAGACAAAUCAUGCAA